AUGUCGGGGCAGCAAAAGCUUUAGGUUUUGGGAAGAAGAGUGAGCCUAAGGCAAAGGAAGCCACCAAGGGUGGGAAAUCAAAGAGUCAAUCAAUUAUAGCUCAAUCUUUCCCAAAGAUGGAUAGUGCCAAAGGCAAAGGUAACACGAGCAGUGCUGCUAAUUAUCUUUUUGGAAACAAGAAAGUUGCGGGCACGACGUCUGGAGCUCCAAAGACCAUCAAAAUCCCGCACAUCAUCGGUUCGGCCUCUAAAUAAAUAAUAUGCCUAUGACGGUGGACGACGAUUACAAAUAAUGCUGCUCUUUUAUUUCUGUUUUCUUUUUUGGUACUCGUCCGCUGUAUUUCUUUUGUAACUGUUUUUGAUAUAGUUUACUUUAUUAAUAUGCUGA
Molecule: non-coding RNA, 387 nt
Organism: Salvia hispanica
Lineage: Eukaryota; Viridiplantae; Streptophyta; Magnoliopsida; Lamiales; Lamiaceae
Source: RefSeq, a predicted model, not a curated record